RNA transcript from Apus apus (common swift), 5554 nucleotides. It is a transcript of the gene named zinc finger and BTB domain containing 24, with no coding region annotated. The transcript is spliced from 8 exons. The record is from RefSeq and is a predicted model, not a curated record. NCBI's taxonomy places the organism in Eukaryota, Metazoa, Chordata, Aves, Apodiformes, Apodidae.
CCCCGGAACGCGCCGUGUGGCUCGUGGAAGGCUGGAGAGUGCCCGUGCUGCUGGCCCCCCCCCCAGCCUCCCUGCAGAGCUGUUACGUUAGGUACCACCUUCCACAUGCCCCAUAGAAGAUGGCAGGAACAGCUCCUGAUGCUGCUGAGAAACAGGUUGUCAUCCAGUCCAGCGCCCACAAAGACACCAUCCUGGCCAACUUAGAAGAACAAAGGAGAAAGGAUUUCCUUUGUGACAUUACCCUGAUCGUGGAGGACGUGCAGUUCAGAGCCCACAAAGCCUUGCUUGCUGCCAGCAGUGAGUACUUCUCCAUGAUGUUUGUGGAGGAGGGGGAGGUAGGACAGUCCAUCUACGUGCUGGAGGGGAUGGUUGCAGACACCUUCGGGGCGCUGCUGGAGUUCAUCUACACCGGUUGCCUCCGCGCCAGUGAGAAGAGCACAGAGCAGAUUCUGGCCACGGCACAGCUGCUGAAAGUGAAUGACUUGGUAGGGGCUUGUGCAGGCUGUGGGGGUGGCCGUGGCCCAGGGGAUGGCUCAGCAGCUCUGGGCAACAGUGGAGCCUCUGGAGCUGUUACCUCCAGUGACACCAACAGCCACGAGCCACCCAAGCGGAAACGAGGGCGGCCCAGGAAAGUCAGGAGCAUCCAAGAAGAAAACCCAGCCACGAAUCCUGCUGAAGACGUGCAGCUGAGGGAGAACAACUCCAUGCAGAACAAGCAGAAUUUCAUGAAAGGAGACACCACGGAAGAAGAAGCAGGUGUUGGUGACCAAGCUGCAGCCAGGAAGGAUGCAGAAGAGACUGAGCCUGCCCGUGGCUCUGAAGCUGCAGCCGACCUGUCAGCUGAGAAGGAUGAGAAUUAUGAUCCCAAAUCUGAGGGGAUACAGAGCACCCAGAGCCGUUACAGCAAACGUAGAAUAAGGAGAUCAAUCAAACUGCAAGAUUACAAACUUCUCGGGGAGGAGGAUGAAAAAGGACUGGCAAAGAGGGCUUGUGGCAAGAGAAAACGUGCAGGUCCCGAAGCUCGCUGUAAGGACUGUGGCAAAGUAUUUAAAUAUAAUCACUUCUUAGCUAUUCACCAGCGGAGUCACACGGGGGAGCGCCCUUUCAAGUGCACAGAGUGUGGCAAAGGCUUUUCCCAGAAGCAUUCCCUGCAAGUCCACCAGCGGAUGCACACAGGGGAGCGGCCCUACAGCUGCACUGUCUGCAGCAAGGCUCUGACAACAAAGCAUUCUCUUCUGGAGCAUAUGAGCCUUCAUACAGGGCAGAAGGCUUUUACAUGUGAUCAGUGUGGGAAAUACUUCAGCCAGAAGAGGCAGCUCAAGAGCCACUACCGAGUGCACACAGGCCGCUCCCUGCCCGAGUGCAGCCAGUGUCGCCGCAGGUUCAUGGAUGCAGCUCAGUUAAAGAAACAUCUAAGGACACACACAGGUGAGAAGCCCUUCACUUGUGAAAUUUGUGGCAAAUCCUUUACAGCUAAAAGUUCUCUUCAGACUCACAUUCGAAUUCACAGAGGAGAAAAGCCAUAUUCUUGUGGUAUUUGUGGGAAAUCCUUCUCUGAUGCCAGUGCUAAGAGAAGACACUAUAUCUUACACACGGGCAAAAAGCCUUUCUCCUGCCCAGAAUGUAGUUUGCAGUUUGCUCGACUGGACAACCUGAAGUCUCAUUUGAAGAUUCACAGCAAGGAGAAGCAGUUCCAGGAGGUCAGCACUGCCCAGGGCACCAACACCAGUGCACAAGUGAGGAACAUCCUUCAGCUGCAGCAGUAUCAGCUUGCCACCUCUGGAGGGCAGGAAAUCCAGCUCCUGGUCACAGAUGCAGUCCAUAAUAUCAACUUUGUGCCUAGCCAUAACCAAGGCAUCAGAAUUGUCACUGCAGAAGGUGCCCCAAACAUGGCCCCAGAGCAGGCUGCAAACCUCACCCUCCUGGCUCAGCCACCACAGCAGCUGCAGAACUUGUUGCUUUCAGCUCAGCAGGAGCCAGCAGAACAAAUCCAAAGCAUCAAUGUGAUUGCAAACGAAAUAGAGCCUGCCCAGCCUGAGCAGAUGCACGUCAUCACUCUCUCCAAGGAAGCCCUGGAACAUCUCCAUGCUCAUCAAGGUCAAAAUGAAGAAAUCCACUUGGCAGGAUCUUCACACCCAGCUCAGCACGUGCAGUUGACUCAGCAGUCUAGUCAACAGUCUCAGCCUCCCCAAGAGACAGUUCCUUCCCAUCCAGUCAGUGAGGAACCCAAUCAAAGUGUCCAUGUUUCUGAACCCCACCAGCAGUCUCUGCCAGUAAAUGACUCAUCUCCUGAGCAUCCUGUUCCAGGACAGGCUUUCUGAAAUGCUUGUUUCUCAUCAGCAUCCUUCCCACCCAGGCAGGGAUUGCACCUUUGGCAUUUUCUUUUCUGCAGCACAAUCUGAAGAUGUGCUUCUUGGUGAUUUUUGAUGGGUGGCUUUCAGUUCUCUUGACCUUAUUUAUUUUAGACCACUUAUUUUCCCAGCUCGGUACAUCUCUACCACCUAGUCCAUACCUCAGAAGCAAUUCAUGUGGUUUUUUCUUCCUCAUACACAUCCAUGCCUACUGAGGAGUUAUUUGAAGCUUGAUUUGCAUUUCUUUGUGACCCCCCAGAGAAGGGUACCUUGCUGGGUACUGUGUUGAAGAUGUUGGGGGAAACAGCAACAAGGAUGAGGAAAAGGCUGAGGUACUUAAUGCCUUCUUUGCCUCUGUCUUUAGUAGUAAGCCCAGUUGUUCUCUUAGCCCCCUGAGCUGGAAGACAGGGAUGGGGAGCAGGAUGUAGCCCCCAUAAUGCAAGGGGAGAACAAGAGGAAAUGGCCUCAACUUGCACCAGGGGAGGUUUAAAUUAGGAUAUUAGGAAGAAUUUCUGUACUGAAUGGGUUUUCAGGCACUGGAACAGGCUGCCCUGGGAGGUGGUGGAGUCACUAUCCCUGGAGGGGUGCAAAAAACAUGGAGAUGUGGUGUUUAUGGACAUGGCUGAGUGGUGGACUUGACAGUGCUGGGUUCAUGGUUGGACUGGAUGAUCUUAAAAGUCUUUUCCCACCAAAAUGAUUCUGUGACUGCUCUGAUGGAGUCAGCAUUACCUGAACUACUGUCAGGUAACCAGCACUGUGUGCAAAGCUAACACCACAUCUUUCUCUUUGCAUAGUUUGCUCUGUGAUCAUUCCCUGAGGUGCAUCUUGACUCCCUGACCACCAGAUCUGUUUGUUUCCAGCUGGAACUGCUGCAGCCUUUGCCUGGCCCUGCAAUCUCCCCCUUGCUGCUCUGUCCCAGUGCUGUUCCCCAGCCAGGCCUUGGCCUUGCCCUCAAGGUGUGGUGGUUACACUGGACAGCUGGCAAGCCCCAGUUCUGCUCUGCUGGUUCUGCCACUCACUGUGGGACUGUGGGCAGGGUAGCUGACCUCUGUGCCUUAGUUUGGUCCUCUGGGAAGCAAGGAUAGUGUUGACACUCUUUGCCAAGCACUUUGAAGAGCUCUUGGUGUUGAAGGCACUGUCCACUGAAGAGCAAAAUUCUCUUCAUGACAGGACUCAGUCUAAUCUUAGGAGCCAGUGUGUAUGUAAAGUGUUAUUUUUUUUGUACUUUUCAGGGCAGAAUGUAAUGUUACUUUUAAUAUAUGUUAUGGCUGGUCAUUGUUUGGGUUUGGGUUUUUUUGUGGGGAUUUAAUUAAUAGAAUCACUUCUCAGAGCAUAAUGAGCUCUGUAAAUGGGGCAUAUCAUGGUGAAGUUGUACAGCUAUUUUUGCUGACUCCAUCAGUGUGUACAGAUUGUUUUCAAUGACUGCUAACAAAGAGGUUUGACACCUUAAUAAAAGACCAUGCCAGGAAAACAUGCUCUGCAUUUCCAGGUGACGUCUCUGGUGGAGCCCUGGUGUGUUAAGAAUCCAGACCUGAUGCCACUGGUACUUAAGCAAGGUGCUCAGUCAUCACUUCAGUUUGAAAACGUCAUCCUUGUGAUUUACAUGGAGAUUUUGUGUUUUAACAAAUGGAAAAUGUAAAAACUGAGGAAUGAGCAGGUGAAUUUAAAAGCAAAACAAAAGGUCUUUGUACAUGCUUGGUUUCUGUGACUGCCCAGAGAAAGUCACUGGCAUAAAAAGCCAGUGCAUAGAAUGAUAGACCAGUUUAAGGUGAGGGGACUUCCAGAGGCCACCUGGGUCAUCACCUUCCUCAAAACAGGUGCACCUAGAUCACGUUGCUGUGGUCUGGUUGAGUUUUGAAGGCCUGCAGGGCUGGAGAGCCACAGCUUGUCUAGGCCACCAGUUCCAGUGGUUGACCAUAGUCACAGUGAAAAAAUACUUCUAUAUUGAACUAAAUUUCCCAUGUUCCUGUUUGUGACAACUGCCCCUCAUCCUGCAGCUGUGCCUCCAGCAAGUGUCUGCUCUACACUGUCCCAAAGGACAAAGGCUGAGGGAGUUGGGGUGUUCAGCCUGGAGAAGAGAAGGCUCCAGGGAGACCUGAGAGCACCUUCCAGUGCCUGAAGGGGCUCCAGGAAAGCUGGGAAGGGGCUUGGGACAAGGGCAGGGAGGGAGAGGACAAGGGGGAUGGAUGAAAACUGGAGGAGGGGAGAUUGAGGUGAGACAUGAGGAGGAAAUUCUGGAGUGUGAGGGCAGGAAGGUGCUGGAACAGGUUGUCCAGGAGGUUGUGGCUGCCCCAUCCCUGGGAGUGUGAUGUGCAGCCCUAGUCUGGUCCCAAGUCAGCAGGAGCUUGCACUGAGUUCCUUCUCUGCCAUGUGUUCAUGGAUCCUGAAAUGCCUGGAAGCUGCUUACAAGCUGAAUUCUGAGAAUGCCACUAAAGUAACUGUCAAAUACUUCCCUCUUUUUUUUGAACUUGGGUUUGUUCAUUAGGAAGGCCUUGUAGGAUGACGUGUGAUGGUCCCAUGGUGCCUGAGCCCCUGUCCCCUGCUGCUUGCUCAGUGCUUCUCUGUGACUAAACAGGAUCAAGGUUUGGGGUUGGAAUUUUCUUCGCUUUUCUACCAAAUGAGCAGCAAGACACGAGCUGCUGGGAGCAGCACAGCAGGGUCUCAUUGCUCAGGCUGCCAGGAUGGUUGCUGUUUGCUCCUGUCCUGCUGUGCUGGGAUGCAGUGACACAUUUAUUUAUUAUUUUUUAGUCCUUUCCCACUUCCAGCUGGCAUGGGAUUCGCUCCUGGUCACGGACCCGUUGCCCCCCUGAGUGCAGCAGCCUGGUCCAUUUUCUGUCUCCCCAGCCCUUCCAGCUCUGCACAGACUGUCUCACUAUCCAAGUGUCCACCUCCAGGAGAAGCUGAGUCCAACCUGGGAGUGGCUGGGAGGAGACCAGUUUGCAAAGCAGAAAAAGGAGUAACAGAAACAGAGAGAGAAAGGAGCCAGUUGUGUGUAUGUGCAGAGUUCAAUUUCAGGAACAGAAUUUGUGUGUAAACAUAAAAACUUCUAUGAAAUGCAGGUAUCAGACUGUUUUGUUGUGGUUGUUUUUUUGGUUUAUUUAAAUACUAUGCAGUGCAUUGCUCUGGUUUUCAUACUUUUGUAGUGCAAAAAGGAGGGAAGGGACAUUUCCAAAGGCCAAAUAAACUUCUGUUGUAUUAAUCUC